UACGGGGGGGGCAAGCGUUGUUCGGAAUUACUGGGCGUAAAGGGCUCGUAGGCGGCCAACUAAGUCGGAUGUGAAAUCCCCAGGCUUAACCUGGGAACUGCAUCCGAUACUGGAUGGCUUGAAUCCGGGAGAGGGAUGCAGAAUUCCAGGUGUAGCGGUGAAAUGCGUAGAUAUCUGGAGGAAUACCGGUGGCGAAGGCGGCAGCCUGGACCGGCAUUGACGCUGAUGAGCGAAAGCUAGGGGAGCAAACGGG
RNAcentral lists this ribosomal RNA (253 nucleotides) under uncultured bacterium. RNAcentral's name for it is "partial 16S ribosomal RNA". It matches the Rfam family "Bacterial small subunit ribosomal RNA", at positions 524 to 776 of the family's 1533-position model. The record is from RNAcentral.